Molecule: ribosomal RNA, 150 nt
Organism: Lobosporangium transversale
Lineage: Eukaryota; Fungi; Mortierellomycota; Mortierellomycetes; Mortierellales; Mortierellaceae
Rfam family: Eukaryotic large subunit ribosomal RNA
Source: Rfam
CUGGCUAGUGACAGCCAAGAAACAACAUUGUUUUUUGAUCUUUUGAUGUCGGAUCUUCCUACUAAAACUGAAGCAGAAUUCAGCAAGCGUCGGAUUGUUCCCCCACAAAUAGGGAAGAUGAGUUGGGCUUAGACUGUCGUGAUACAAAUA